CUGUCUCAAGACUAGCCAUGCACGUCUAAGUACAAACUAAAUGAUGGUGAAACUGCAAAUGGCUCAUUACAACGGUUAUGAUGUACCCGGGAGUUCCGAUGGAUAUUUCCAGUAACACUAGAACUAAUACAUGUCCCUGCGUUUAUUAGUUUCGCACAGUCCGUCCCUGAGUCAUGGUAAACAGUUGAUCGACUCGACGUCCCGGAACAGUUUCCGCCCCAUCAGCUUCGAUGGUUGGGUAUUGGCCUACCAUUGCAACAACGGGUAACGAGGAAUUAGGGUUUGAUUUCGGAGAGGGAGCCUGAGAAACGGCUACCACAUCUACGGAUGGCAGCAGGCGCGCAAAUUACCCAAUGCAGACACUGUGAGGUAGUGACGAGAAAUAAUAAAGCGGGACUUCUGUUUCGCUAUUAUAAUGAGGAAUAACCAAAGGUCAUUCCGAUUAGCAACUGAUGGGAAAGUCUGGUGCCAGCAGCCGCGGUAAUACCAGCGUCAGUAGC
This 500-nucleotide ribosomal RNA is filed under the name uncultured Myrionecta. RNAcentral's name for it is "SSU rRNA". It matches the Rfam family "Eukaryotic small subunit ribosomal RNA", at positions 31 to 598 of the family's 1831-position model. The record is from RNAcentral. Lineage: Eukaryota; Ciliophora; Litostomatea; Cyclotrichida; Mesodiniidae.